AUUGAACGCUGGCGGCAUGCCUUACACAUGCAAGUCGAACGGUAACGGGCCUUCGGGUGCCGACGAGUGGCGAACGGGUGAGUAAUGCAUCGGAACGUACCUUUCAGUGGGGGAUAACGUAGUGAAAGUUACGCUAAUACCGCAUAUUCUGUGAGCAGGAAAGCAGGGGAUCGCAAGACCUUGCGCUGAUUGAGCGGCCGAUGUCAGAUUAGCUAGUUGGUGAGGUUAAAGGCUCACCAAGGCGACGAUCUGUAGCGGGUCUGAGAGGAUGAUCCGCCACACUGGAACUGAGACACGGUCCAGACUCCUACGGGAGGCAGCAGUGGGGAAUUUUGGACAAUGGGGGCAACCCUGAUCCAGCCAUGCCGCGUGAGUGAAGAAGGCCUCGGUUGUAAGG
RNAcentral lists this ribosomal RNA (397 nucleotides) under uncultured bacterium. RNAcentral's name for it is "bacterial SSU rRNA". It matches the Rfam family "Bacterial small subunit ribosomal RNA", at positions 30 to 430 of the family's 1533-position model. The record is from RNAcentral.